This 73-nucleotide transfer RNA is filed under the name Homarus americanus (American lobster). RNAcentral's name for it is "tRNA-Phe". It matches the Rfam family "tRNA". Rfam says of the family: Transfer RNA (tRNA) molecules are approximately 80 nucleotides in length. Their secondary structure includes four short double-helical elements and three loops (D, anti-codon, and T loops). Further hydrogen bonds mediate the characteristic L-shaped molecular structure. tRNAs have two regions of fundamental functional importance: the anti-codon, which is responsible for specific mRNA codon recognition, and the 3' end, to which the tRNAs corresponding amino acid is attached (by aminoacyl-tRNA synthetases). tRNAs cope with the degeneracy of the genetic code in two manners: having more than one tRNA (with a specific anti-codon) for a particular amino acid; and 'wobble' base-pairing, i.e. permitting non-standard base-pairing at the 3rd anti-codon position. The record is from Rfam by way of RNAcentral. RNAcentral also lists the same sequence under 1 other name. Lineage: Eukaryota; Metazoa; Arthropoda; Malacostraca; Decapoda; Nephropidae.
GCCUAGAUAGCUCAGUUGGGAGAGCGUUAGACUGAAGAUCUAAAGGUCCCCGGUUCGAUUCCGGGUCUGGGCA